ACGUACACUCCUGCGGGAGGCAGCAGUGGGGAAUUUUGGACAAUGGGCGAAAGCCUGAUCCAGCCAUGCCGCGUGCAGGAUGAAGGCCUUCGGGUUGUAAACUGCUUUUGUACGGAACGAAACGGCCUUUUCUAAUAAAGAGGGCUAAUGACGGUACCGUAAGAAUAAGCACCGGCUAACUACGUGCCAGCAGCCGCGGUAAUACGUAGGGUGCAAGCGUUAAUCGGAAUUACUGGGCGUAAAGCGUGCGCAGGCGGUUAUGUAAGACAGUUGUGAAAUCCCCGGGCUCAACCUGGGAACUGCAUCUGUGACUGCAUAGCUAGAGUACGGUAGAGGGGGAUGGAAUUCCGCGUGUAGCAGUGAAAUGCGUAGAUAUGCGGAGGAACACCGAUGGCGAAGGCAAUCCCCUGGACCUGUACUGACGCUCAUGCACGAAAGCGUGGGGAGCAAACAGGAUUAGAAACCCCAGUAGUCCCA
This 477-nucleotide ribosomal RNA is filed under the name uncultured organism. RNAcentral describes it as "partial 16S ribosomal RNA". It matches the Rfam family "Bacterial small subunit ribosomal RNA", at positions 329 to 797 of the family's 1533-position model. The record is from RNAcentral.